Thalassophryne amazonica is the source of this 840-nucleotide long non-coding RNA. RefSeq lists it as uncharacterized. The transcript is spliced from 4 exons. Lineage: Eukaryota; Metazoa; Chordata; Actinopteri; Batrachoidiformes; Batrachoididae. The record is from RefSeq and is a predicted model, not a curated record.
UUGUUGGAAUUGGGGUUUUUUUUUCUCUCUUGACACAAUUUUGCUGCAAUAAGGUAACAUCACCUGGUGUGUCCUCACAACCACAACAGGAUGCAGCUGCCUGUCACAGAAUCACAGUAUACCAAAUCUCCGUCAAAGCAACAUGGAAACCACUAAAUACUACACAGAACUAAAUCUAUCCAUCAAUGGCUCUGGUUUCCAAAUAAAAUGACGCAGUAUUUCUGAUUUCAGUGGGGAGCUCACUGUACGCAUUCUAACUCAAUGUGAUAAUAACAAGGAACAGGAGGUGUUGCUUGAGUUAAGUCUCUGAGCUCACAGCACUCAUCAUCACAUCAUGAGACAGAUAAAUGUAGUGCAUCAUUAAUUCAAACCUAUGAGUGACAUUAUAUUCAGACAAUACUCUUGACUAAACCUGCAAAUGAUGAUGCUAAAUAAUGAUGACAUAAUUCAACUUAUUAGUUGAACAUAAAAAUAAGUCUAUUAUUUUAUUAAUUGAUCAACAAUUUAAAAUUAACUUGUCAAAAAGACAAAAAAGCACAAUUUUAUAUUGUUCCAAAUUCUCAAUGUAAGGAUUUGCUGCUUUUUCUUUUUCUCAUUUCCAUUAAAACAAUGCUAAUGGAUAUAAAUAGCUGUACAUUCAAAUUUAAACUGCUGUUUCUUGUUUAAAUCAGAUAUGAUCUUAAUCUGAACAGUUCCAAAUUAGUCUGAAUUGAUGGAAAUAUGAUUUUAGGUGGAAUUAAUCUUGAUAAACAGAAAGGCAAAAUGGACAUGUUUAAAGUGUUUCAAGGUCCAACUUAAUAUGGAUUUAAUCCACUUCAAACCAGAUGUUAUCAUUUUUAU